GCAUUGUGUCUCAGGACUCUUUUGAUCAAUGAAAACAAUCUCGGACACCUGUGAUAAUUAGAUUGCCAGGUGAGCCCAAUUUAUGGAAAAAUUACUAAAGGAGGGUGUUCCACAUUAUUAAGCAGAGUACCAUUUUCAUGCAAUAUGGGGAAGAAAAAUGAUCUCUCUGCUGCCGAAAAGAGUGAAUAGUUCAAUGCCUUGGACGAGGUACGAAAACAUUAGAUAUUUCACGAAAACUUAAGUGUGAUCAUCACACUAUUAAGAGAUUUGUG
This is a non-coding RNA of Pelobates cultripes (western spadefoot toad), 272 nucleotides long. The record is from the annotation of a GenBank genome assembly. NCBI's taxonomy places the organism in Eukaryota, Metazoa, Chordata, Amphibia, Anura, Pelobatidae.